Molecule: ribosomal RNA, 301 nt
Filed under: uncultured bacterium
Lineage: Bacteria
Description: partial 16S ribosomal RNA
Rfam family: Bacterial small subunit ribosomal RNA
Source: RNAcentral
CAGUCGCCGCGUGAAUACGAAGGGUGCAAGCGUUACUCGGAAUUACUGGGCGUAAAGCGUGCGUAGGUGGUGGUUUAAGUCCGUUGUGAAAGCCCUGGGCUCAACCUGGGAAUUGCAGUGGAUACUGGGUCACUAGAGUGUGGUAGAGGAUAGUGGAAUUUCCGGUGUAGCAGUGAAAUGCGUAGAGAUCGGAAGGAACAUCUGUGGCGAAGGCGACUAUCUGGGCCAACACUGACACUGAGGCACGAAAGCGUGGGGAGCAAACAGGAUUAGAUACCCCGGUAGUCCCUGUCUCUUAUAC